This 504-nucleotide ribosomal RNA is filed under the name uncultured bacterium. RNAcentral's name for it is "bacterial SSU rRNA". It matches the Rfam family "Bacterial small subunit ribosomal RNA", at positions 29 to 523 of the family's 1533-position model. The record is from RNAcentral.
AACAAACGCUGGCGGCGUGCCUAAUACAUGCAAGUCGAACGAGGAAGUACCUUCGGGUAUUGUACUAGUGGCGUACGGGUGAGUAACGCGUGGAUAAUCUUCCUCUAGGUGGGGAAUAACCAGUCGAAAGAUUGGCUAAUACCGCAUAAGACCACAGGGGCUUCGGUCCAAGGGGUUAAAGGUGAAAAUCGCCUGGAGAUGAGUCUGCGCCCGAUUAGCUAGUUGGUGAGGUAAUGGCUCACCAAGGCGACGAUCGGUAGCUGGUCUGAGAGGACGGCCAGCCACACGGGGACUGAGACACAGCCCAGACUCCUACGGGAGGCAGCAGUGGGGAAUAUUGGACAAUGGGUGCAAGCCUGAUCCAGCAAUGCCGCGUGUGUGAAGAAGGCCUGCGGGUUGUAAAGCACUUUUGUUCGGGAAGAAAUCAUGUCGGUUAAUACCCGAUGUGGAUGACGGUACCGAAAGAAUAAGCACCGGCUAACUUCGUGCCAGCAGCCGCGGUAA